This 762-nucleotide long non-coding RNA is filed under the name Bos mutus (wild yak). Its description in RNAcentral is "lncRNA (ENSBMUG00000000986.1)". Lineage: Eukaryota; Metazoa; Chordata; Mammalia; Artiodactyla; Bovidae. The record is from RNAcentral.
CCUCCCCAUCCCCUCGCCUCCCGCCUCCACGCAAUGACCUGUUCCCGGCCCUCUCAGUUCCGCGCGGCCCCUUCGAGGUGGGGCCUGGGCACAGGAACGACAGGCGUUGCAGCCAAUGGCGUCCCGCACGGUAAACCUGCUACCCAAUCACAAGGCGCGGCUGCGAGGGAACGGAGUGGGAACCACGCCCGGCUCCAGGUGACUCCUUGGCAGGGAGGGAAGGGCGCCUCGGUUAGUGGAUAGGAUCCCCACUGGGUCCGUUCCUCGGGGCGAGGUCUCGCGGACCAAGCUGCCGAAGCGUGCGGCCAGUGACCUGCUGUGGAAUCCUUUAGUGCUGUAGUCGAGGAGAGUGAUGGAGGAGCGUCUAGAAGCUGGGAAGGACAGCAAGAGCUCAUGGACUUCAGAUCCCAUGUAUCUUCCUUCCGCGAGAACCUCACUGAGCUGGCCGAGCUGGAGCUCAAACAUGCCAAAGGCCAGCACCCUGCUUCUGCAGAGCACCCCAGUUAUCCUCAAGGGGGAGCCUUAGAGCUUCCAAAAGCCCCCAGAUCUCCUACUCCAGACAGGUGCCUUCCAGCCCUAGGAGCCACUUGCCAUGCCCCUUCUCAGGGCAACCCCCACCCCUGCCCCAAGGUGCCAGGCCCUGCCAGAGGGAGAGCGAGCAGCAUGGACACCACUCUUGGCCAGAGGUAAGCAGAGCCCCAACCUGGGGAAGCCCAGGGAACAUGACCUCCCCUCCGCAGAGGCAGACAGCCUCCACCCACG